Molecule: ribosomal RNA, 447 nt
Filed under: uncultured bacterium
Lineage: Bacteria
Description: partial 16S ribosomal RNA
Rfam family: Bacterial small subunit ribosomal RNA
Source: RNAcentral
AACGAACGCUGGCGGCAGGCUUAACACAUGCAAGUCGAACGCCCCGCAAGGGGAGUGGCAGACGGGUGAGUAACGCGUGGGAAUCUACCCAGAUCUACGGAACAACAGAGGGAAACUUCUGCUAAUACCGUAUACGCCCUACGGGGGAAAGAUUUAUCGGAUUUGGAUGAGCCCGCGUAAGAUUAGCUAGUUGGUGGGGUAAUGGCCUACCAAGGCGACGAUCUUUAGCUGGUCUGAGGGGAUGAUCAGCCACACUGUGACUGAGACACGGCCCAGACUCCUACGGGAGGCAGCAGUGGGGAAUAUUGGACAAUGGGCGCAAGCCUGAUCCAGCCAUGCCGCGUGAGUGAUGAAGGCCUUAGGGUUGUAAAGCUCUUUCACCGAUGAAGAUAAUGACGGUAGUCGGAGAAGAAGCCCCGGCUAACUUCGUGCCAGCCGCCGCCGUAA